RNAcentral lists this ribosomal RNA (457 nucleotides) under uncultured bacterium. RNAcentral describes it as "bacterial SSU rRNA". It matches the Rfam family "Bacterial small subunit ribosomal RNA", at positions 29 to 531 of the family's 1533-position model. The record is from RNAcentral.
AACGAACGCUGGCGGCAGGCCUAACACAUGCAAGUCGAGCGCCCCGCAAGGGGAGCGGCGGACGGGUGAGUAACGCGUGGGAACGUACCCUUUGCUACGGAAUAGCCUCGGGAAACUGGGAGUAAUACCGUAUGUGCCCUUCGGGGGAAAGAUUUAUCGGCAAAGGAUCGGCCCGCGUUGGAUUAGGUAGUUGGUGGGGUAAUGGCCUACCAAGCCGACGAUCCAUAGCUGGUUUGAGAGGAUGAUCAGCCACACUGGGACUGAGACACGGCCCAGACUCCUACGGGAGGCAGCAGUGGGGAAUCUUAGACAAUGGGCGCAAGCCUGAUCUAGCCACGCCGCGUGAGCGAUGAAGGCCUUAGGGUUGUAAAGCUCUUUCAGUGGGGAAGAUAAUGACUGUACCCACAGAAGAAGCCCCGGCUAACUCCGUGCCAGCAGCCGCGGUAAAGUCUGUACU